UACGGGGGGGGCAAGCGUUGUCCGGAUUUAUUGGGCGUAAAGAGCUCGUAGGCGGCUUGUUGCGUCAGCUGUGAAAACCCGGGGCUCAACUCCGGGCCUGCAGCCGAUACGGGCAGACUAGAGUUCGGCAGGGGAGACUGGAAUUCCUGGUGUAGCGGUGAAAUGCGCAGAUAUCAGGAGGAACACCGGUGGCGAAGGCGGGACUCUGGGCCGAUACUGACGCUGAGGAGCGAAAGCGUGGGGAGCGAACAGG
RNAcentral lists this ribosomal RNA (253 nucleotides) under uncultured bacterium. Its description in RNAcentral is "partial 16S ribosomal RNA". It matches the Rfam family "Bacterial small subunit ribosomal RNA", at positions 524 to 776 of the family's 1533-position model. The record is from RNAcentral.